Molecule: long non-coding RNA, 5136 nt
Filed under: Anolis carolinensis (green anole)
Lineage: Eukaryota; Metazoa; Chordata; Lepidosauria; Squamata; Anolidae
Description: lncRNA (ENSACAG00000041577.1)
Source: RNAcentral
AUGCUGGGAAAUGUGGAGGACUCUGAAGAGAGGGCGGUCCUUCUUCCCGACUUUCACUCCUUUUUCCGCUUCCUCCUCUCCUCCUCCUCAUCACACGCCAGGCUCCUCCUCCUGCUAGGCCCAAGGUGCACCUGGCGAAAGAGGUGGAGGAAUGGCAGCACUUCGCCCCGCUCGCCUCUGAUGCAGGGGAAGCAAGGCAGCACCACGCUGCCUGUUGUUUUUCCUCGCACAGGCACUUGCUCCCCUGUUCAGGAUCCGCUUGCCACAGGCAAAGGCAGGAGAGUGAGAGUGGGUGUGAGCAUCUGGACGAGGAAAAGCAGCAGGCGGCGCUGCCUUGCUUUGCCUUGCCUUGCUUCCCCUGCAUCAGAGGCGAGCAGGGUGGGGCAAUGCCGUUCCCCCGCCUCUUUCGCCAGGUGCGCCUUGGACCUAGCAGAGCCCACGCUGUGCCGCUUCUUCUUCCCUCCAGGUCUGCUGACAGGGAGGCCGGCCACGUGUGCACCGAAAUGGCCACCGAUCUUUUAUCCCUCACUACUGUGCCCUUUAUAAAGAAAGUUUGAGAUCUUGGACAGCAUUAUGGCCCUUUCCACAGUAAGUAGUGCAGUACAGUACAAUCCCCAUAUCCACAAGACAGGUAACUGUAGUUUCAAUUAUCUACAUCUAACAAAAUGUGUCAUUAUUUAUUGGUCCUCCAGGCAACUCUAUGAAAUUUGACCAUAGAAAGAUAUUCUAAGUUUUCCUAUGUCUUUUAUCAUGACUCUGUGGUAUGAUGUCACAUUUUGUUUUGUUCCAUAGCAUUUGCUAUUGUCUGCAUUUUUGCAAAUCCACAACGAGAUCUUGAAUGUCUUUCCUGAAAAUACAGGGGCCAUAUUAAACAAGCUUUUUUGGAAAGCUUAUUUAAAUGGGAAAAUAGAAAUUUGUUUCCCUAAUAAGUAUGAAAAAUCUGCUCUGUUACAAGAUGAGAAACCCCUGUGGUGCUCACUGUUCUAGACAGCCAGUAUAUUCAAUAAACACAGUCAAGAUGGGAUUGUAGAGCCACAUUCUUCUUAUUCGGUGGUAACAAUAAGGAACCACUCUUGUUGACUGUCAAUGAAUAUCUAUACCAAUCCAUUAUAGGAACCUCAACCUAUUUGCCGCUAGAAUCACCAUGCAUCGUGGCAAAUUCAGCAGUGCUUGGUGGGGGAAUCCACCUCAUUCUAUGGGGAAAAGCAUCCGCCAGCCAGCUUCCCUCCAUUAAUUUGUAUGUGACAUGGGAAGCCUCCUAUGUUGUAGCUGUGGCGGCAUAUGUGGUUCCCCAUCCCUUUACCACGAAGCCCCACUGGAAGUAGCUAUGCAUCAUGGGAUGGGAGCCAGCAAGUUCUGUGGCAAAAGAGAAGGGGAACUGGCAUUGCUGCCGAAUUCAGCCCCGUCUGAUGAGGUUAAAAUCUCUCAAACAAGGUCUGCAGCUUCAUGCUUAAAAUAAAAGCAUUUGACAUAAAGUAUGCUUUAUCCAUCUUGAUAAAUUGAAGAUUUUUUUAUUAAUAAUCAUCUUACAUUACAAGUAUGAUGUAUGACAAAAGCAAAGUUCUCGUGUACAUACUAUAAUAUAUCAACAUAGCUCUAUUCGUAUCCAGUGUCCUAGCCCCUCUCACACAGGUACUAUAAAGCAUAGUCUGCAAAAUAACAUUUUAAACAUUGUCAGAAAAAAGUGUGAUAUAAACAUUUUAAUACAUAUGUAAUAAUAUAUUUCUAAAUUGUUCCUCCCCCUCCCCUCCUUUACAUGUGUGCAUGGUCAAACAAACUGUUUGAGACUGGGCUUGUGAGGGGAAGGGGUGAGGGGAAGGCCAAACACGAGGAGGUAUUUCCAUCCCCUUGAUGCUUCUGAGUUAUGCAAGGAUGCCUGAAGAGGAGAAAUCCAGCAGCCCUCCUUGUUGCAUUUAUACAAUUACAGUUUGUGUGAUUUCCCUUCCCAGUGUGGGCUGGGGAAGCUUUUCUGUACAUGAGGUGAGGUGCUUGAAGGAUUUCAAUACAGAGUGAGAGUGUUUGUUGGCAGCAUGCGGGCCAGAGAAGAGUCCAGUAGCCAUGAGAAGGUAAAACUGUUCAUGAGGUUGAGUCCUGAGGAAAACAUUUUCUAGGUAGCUGUUCUUGUAUGGAUUGACACUCUACAGUCCUGAAGAUGUGGGGUUUCAGGUAGGCCUGGUUUGUAACUGAGGUGGGUUUCCAGAGUUGUGUGGUGGCAACGCCCUGAUGUAUCACAAGAGGAUAAGCAAACCUCAAUUUCCAGAGGUAUGUGGCACAAGUUCGCUCAACAUAAAGCUGCACAACACCAGUGCAAGUAGUCACUUGAUUGAAGGAAAUUCGUUUCUACAUUUUCCAAACGAAUCCUCCCAAUGAUCAGAAUAAUUGUAACAACGAAACUUGCAUAAAAUAUUACAUAGUGCCUGGAUGCUUGAAAUCUGGAUGUUUUAUCUCUCCCCCCCCCCAAAAAGUAUUUUUAAGAUACCUUUCUUACCAACAGAAAACAAUUUUCACCUGCAGAAUCAAAAUGGCUUUGUCGAAACAUGGGCAAAGAAAGGGAAAAUUCAGCUCAAAGACCUCCCAGCAUGAAUUUCACAAAGGAAUGAUCAAUGAAAAUUGUGGUUGGGCCUGCAACAAAUGUAUGAUUCUGUUAGUCAUAGUUUUAAAGGAUAACAUCACAUCAACAGUGUUUUUGUCAGAGUGGUUCAGUUGUAAUUACUCAAGCCAGAACUGCUGAAAUGAAUUCAGUAUUCAGGAUAGUGUUUGCCAUCUGAUGACUUCAGUUCAUUGUUCAUUCUGAAAACCAUUUGAAUGAUCAAUUUAUUUUCAACAAAGAAAAACUGCAUUUUCUUAAAAAGUGUAAUCAAAGAGGAUAUUAGUAGUGAAGGUACAGCAAUACAACUGCACAUACAGGGAACAUCUGUGGCAUGACUCCCCAGCUAAAUACAUUCACCAUUUAACAUUGCACUUAAACUUUUUCUUCUUAUGCUAGAUCCACUUUCCAGAUACUAUCUUCUCCCUCAUUUUUGAGUUUCAUUGUCUUUUAUAAAAACAAAAUAAUCCUAGCUGCAUAAAUGUAGUACUGCUGAAAGUCAAUGAGGCUUGGCCAAGUGCAACUAAUGCCUGUAUUCCACUCAAAUGUAUCAUACCAUUUCAAUUUGCUAACUACAAGGCCAUAUCAAUUAGGAGAAGCGCAAGCUGUAUUUCCACCUGCAGUUAUUUAGCAAAGAAGGAAAGUGCACAAGUGGAUUGAAUACAUAUUUGCCAAAAGUAAGAAUGCAGGCAUCUACAGCCUACGUUGCACUAAAUGCAUUCACUAUAAUUUAUCACAAGAUGUCCCAGUACUGCUGCGCAGGCAUCAAUUAACACAUUGUGAACCCCGCUGGUAUGCCGACCCACAGCAAAAUACUUUCACUAGACAGCUUUCUUUCAAUAGGCAAACACUGGAGUGAAAUUGAAUGCCACACCUUUAAUUUUGUGUGCUGUAUGCCUCUCACAUAAACACAGGGCCAGCCUUUGCAACAGAGCAGUCAGUUCUCUAAAUCUAUUUAUAUCCAUUGAAAACAUAUAAAUAUAUAAAUAUAUAGUCUAUUAUUUAUAUAGUGACAUAUAGCCAUGUGAAUUAAUUUCUUAUAUGGUGUGGUCUAUAUGAAGUAUUACAUGGGGCAUGCUAUACAUAAGCUAUAGGCAUAAUCUAGCCACUGAUUUCAGUGGGAGGAUGAAGCUCAUACUCAAGUUUCUCCCUCUAAAAUCAUGUGAGUAUCAAAAUGCUGUCUUAGUCAGAUCAUGUCCAGUGAGAGGGCAAUCCAGAGAAAGUUGGUUGAACCAAAAUCUACCUGAAAGCAAUAUGAUCUAAAAGCUCAAGUACCAUAGAUUUCUUUAGAUUGCACCUUUUGGGGAAUCAGUAUUAUGUAUAUACACCAGGUUUCAAAGAGACAUAUUCUACCUGCUUACAAAGGGAAAUAAGAAUUGCAUAGAUAUUACUGGUGUGAAAGUAUUAUUGGAGUGAAAAUACAAUGGCUGAAGAGCAGAAUUAAUUAUUUCUAAUUGUUGAGGAACCACUUUUAUGGAUUGAGUUGAUUUUUGUUGUUUAAACUGAGGAGGGACAGUGGCUACACUGGCUGGGGAUUCUGGGAACAGUUGUUCCCCAAAAAUAAGUUCCAAGCUAUGAGGUAACCAUGGGGGAAAAUGGACAUCAACCCUAUUACACAACAUACUGUAGAAACAAUGUUAAGUAGAAAAAUAACCUGAAAGAUUUCUUAGCAGCUGAGUUUGUGCUGUAGGAUCAAAAUGUCUGAAUAGUCUUUAAGAGCCCAUCCUUGCAAAAAUGCAAGCAACAAGCACAAUCAACACAAGGAUGUUUUGAUACAGAGGGCAUGCCUUUAUAAGAGGACAAACUUGCAUUGUCCAUGCAUGCGUCCUCACUGUGCUUUUGAAAAUGUAGAAAUAGCUUUGGUUUUCUGUUUUGUUAUGAUACUCCCUGUUGUGUUUGGCUUUUGGCCCUACGACUUUGAUUCCAUGCAUUAUUGGUAGGCUGCAUGUAAGAUGAUACAAGUAUGUGUUUAGUAUGUUUCAGACAGAGAGAAACAUGCUGCUGUGAUAGAGCCUGAAUUAAAAGAUAGUUGGUAAAUAUGUAACAAAACUCCAACAAGGUAGAAUUCUUAGUAAGGAGUCAAGGUUUACAAAGUGAUAUGCACAAAUUAUUCACAGAAGCUGAAAACAACAGAAACACUUGAUUACAAACUGUUUCUUUACAUUAUUCAGAAAUAUAGGCACGCAUAUAUUCUUAACUAUGAUAUCUUGUCUGAACAUAACAGGCUGAUUAAUUUGGUUUCUAAAUACUGGAUCCUUUACAUAUUGACCAUUUUUAUCUCCUUCUCUCUGCAAGAGAAAACUAUACAAUAUUUUUGAGUGAGAAACAUGCAAGCAAUUAUCAGAUGGAGAAUUAAUGUUCCCUUGUGCUCUUCUGCUGCCCUAGACAUCUACAAAUACUUUAACAGCUGAUGCCCUCUAGUGUACUUUAUUUUUCACUACAUUUUGUCUGAUCGAAAUUACAACCAAACAGAUAGCUAGAAGUGUUGAAUGGAAAUCUAAACCUAACUGACUUCAGGCAUCUUCUUUCUAGUUCACUGGCUAGAGAAC